Molecule: long non-coding RNA, 1542 nt
Organism: Homo sapiens (human)
Lineage: Eukaryota; Metazoa; Chordata; Mammalia; Primates; Hominidae
Gene: KANSL1L-AS1
Product: KANSL1L antisense RNA 1
Exons: 5
Source: RefSeq, marked validated
CCAUGGAAAGAACCAUUGAAUGUUACACAUUAAACAAGUCUAAUAUCAUUAGAAUUACUUUCCUAAUUAGAUGACAGUUGUGCAGAAGAUUCUGACCUUAUUUGAGGCUUACAUAUAGGUUUGGAGAUGUGGAAAGGAGUGGAAAAAGAAAUAUGUAAGCUGAAGUGCCAAACUCACACUGAAAUAAAGGGCAUGGCCUACCAGCUGACAAGGAGUGUCUGGUUUCAAGAUGGCAAAUGACCCUAAACAUGAUAGACAAAUACGUUUUACAUAGGUACAUGCACAGAUAGGCACAUAUAAAUCCACAUUUGCAAGCAAAAAGUGGAACCUGUAAAGCAGAAUUUCUGAGGAAUCUCUAAAAGACUAAUACUAUAUGGAAUUUGAAGAGGAAACCCAGAGCAGAAGCACAUAGUGAAGUACUGCCACAAAGAUGUGUGACGCCACUAAAGGUGCUCUAGACCCACAAGAAAGGAAAACUGGGAGCAGGACAACUAUCUGGAUAUUGACUGCACAUGCCAAUAUCUCAGUCAGACUAACAGAAUCAGAGCUUUAGGCAGAGAAAUGAAUGGUUGGAGAGAGAAGGCAAUGCCCAGGUGCCCUGCUUUGAAAUGUCCCGCCCAUCCCCAAAUUAGUCUGAAAAUUUCAAAUGUUGUAUAAAUUCCCUUCCCAUCAAAAGUGUCCCAUAAACAGCAGUGGUAGAAGAGUUUUAACUGAGUAUCACAGCUUCAAUGAUGAGUAUAGAAAACUCCAAAAAUCUGAAUACCAACACAAUCAAAAAAGAGGUACAAACCACAAGUGGAAGAACCAUCUCAAGAAAUAAUGAAGCAUUCAUGGAAUACAGAUUAGCAACUCUUUAAAACAGUAUUGCCAAGAGAAACAGAUGGCAUUGCAGUUGUCAGAUCUCAUUAAGGUCUUAUAUCUGAAACAGUUCCACUGUCUUCCAUAACUUUCAUAACUUUGAACAUUUUGGCUCAUAGGCGAAAGGGAAUUGCCUUAUUUCGAAUGAGACUUUGGACUGUGGACUUCUGAGUUGAUGCUGAAAUGAGUUAAGACUUUGGGGGACUGCUGGGAAGGCAUGAUUGGUUUUGAAAUGUGAGGACGUGAGAUUUGGGAGGGGUUGGGGUGGAAUGAUAUGGUUUGGCUGUGUCCUCACUCAAAUCUCAUCUUGAAUUCCCACAUGUUGUGGGAGGGAUCGGUGGGAGGUAAUUGACUCACGGGGCCAAGUCUUGCUGUUCUUGUGAUAGUGAAUAAGUCUCACAAGAUCUGAUGGUUUUAAAAAGAGGAGUUCCCCUGCACAAGUUCUCUCUCUUUGCCUACUGCCAUCUACGUUAAGACAUGACUUGCUCCUCCUUGCCUUCCACCAUGAUUGCAAGGUAUCCCCAGCCAUGUAGAACUGUAAGUCCAUUAAAUCCUUUUUCCUGUAUAAAUUACCCAGUUUCAGGUAUGUCUUUAUCAGCAGCAUGAAUAUGGACUAAUACAGAAAUUAAAAUGAUGCCUGACACAUAAUUGCUUAAUAAAUAUUAGCUAUUAUUAUUUGACAUU